GCCCCCUUAGCUCAAUGGACAGAGCAGUGCACUCCUAAGGCAAAGAUGGCAGUUCGAUUCUGCCAGGGGGCA
This 72-nucleotide transfer RNA is filed under the name Deltaproteobacteria bacterium. RNAcentral's name for it is "tRNA-Arg". It matches the Rfam family "tRNA". From Rfam's summary of the family: Transfer RNA (tRNA) molecules are approximately 80 nucleotides in length. Their secondary structure includes four short double-helical elements and three loops (D, anti-codon, and T loops). The record is from RNAcentral. Lineage: Bacteria; Pseudomonadati; Myxococcota; Myxococcia.